GACGAAGGAUGCAAGCGUUAUCCGGAUUCAUUGGGUUUAAAGGGAGCGUAGGUGGCCUUAUAAGUCAGUGGUGAAAUCUCUGGGCUUAACCCAGAAAUUGCCAUUGAUACUUUAGGGCUUGAGUAUAGAUGCCGUUGGCGGAAUAUGACAUGUAGUGGUGAAAUACAUAGAGAUGUCAUAGAACACCGAUUGCGAAGGCAGCUAACGAAACUAUAACUGACACUGAGGCUCGAAAGUGUGGGGAUCAAACAGG
RNAcentral lists this ribosomal RNA (253 nucleotides) under uncultured bacterium. RNAcentral describes it as "partial 16S ribosomal RNA". It matches the Rfam family "Bacterial small subunit ribosomal RNA", at positions 524 to 776 of the family's 1533-position model. The record is from RNAcentral.